Molecule: long non-coding RNA, 596 nt
Filed under: Elaeis guineensis (African oil palm)
Lineage: Eukaryota; Viridiplantae; Streptophyta; Magnoliopsida; Arecales; Arecaceae
Description: long non-coding RNA (EGUI_LNC055056)
Source: RNAcentral
GCUGCUGCUCCAACUUCAGAAGGAGUUCUGAAGUACUUUCUAAUUAGAUUUAGAUCUGAUUUUUGGAGCAUAGAUUCAUGAGGAGAAGACGUUCUAGAUCCUACUUGAGUGGAUACCAGUAGAGGCCAGGCGCUUGCGUGGCUAUAUCAGAACCUCGGGCUGUGCAGAUAUCAUCUACAGGGUAAUCAGAUUACCCUUGAGGUAUUUCUUCUUUUAUCAUAAUUUUAGAUUUAAUUUUAGAUUUUAAAUAUCAGAUAAUAAAAUUAGAUCUAGAGAAUUAGAUCUAAAAUAUGUAGGAUAUAUAUUUUUUUAAAUUAUUUCAUCCCAGAUUUAAUGAAAUCUGAAAGAUCCUACGCGGAGAAAGCGUUUCUCCUCCUUCAUGUAACUGAUUGACGUGACGUCUGUAACCGCCUGGUAAUGGGCCGUUCAGAGCCACGCGGAGUUUGUUACGGAGAGUAGUGAUAUCAGGGGCCGUUCAGGGCCACGUGGAGUUUGUUACGGAGAGUGGAGUGGUGUUCGUUGUCGCGACUUGCCAGAGAGUGGUGGAGCCACGUGGAAUCCAUUGCAGAGAGUGGAGUAGGGUAGUGGCCAUUGUC